GACGAACGCUGGCGGCGUGCCUAAUACAUGCAAGUUGAGCGCUGAAGGUUGGUACUUGUACCAACUGGAUGAGCAGCGAACGGGUGAGUAACGCGUGGGGAAUCUGCCUUUGAGCGGGGGACAACAUUUGGAAACGAAUGCUAAUACCGCAUAAAAACUUUAAACACAAGUUUUAAGUUUGAAAGAUGCAAUUGCAUCACUCAAAGAUGAUCCCGCGUUGUAUUAGCUAGUUGGUGAGGUAAAGGCUCACCAAGGCGAUGAUACAUAGCCGACCUGAGAGGGUGAUCGGCCACAUUGGGACUGAGACACGGCCCAAACUCCUACGGGAGGCAGCAGUAGGGAAUCUUCGGCAAUGGACGAAAGUCUGACCGAGCAAACGCCGCGUGAGUGAAAGAAAGGUUUUCGGAUCGUAAAAACUUCUGUUG
RNAcentral lists this ribosomal RNA (425 nucleotides) under Lactococcus lactis. RNAcentral describes it as "bacterial SSU rRNA". It matches the Rfam family "Bacterial small subunit ribosomal RNA", at positions 28 to 438 of the family's 1533-position model. The record is from RNAcentral. Lineage: Bacteria; Bacillati; Bacillota; Bacilli; Lactobacillales; Streptococcaceae.